Molecule: non-coding RNA, 856 nt
Filed under: Pongo abelii (Sumatran orangutan)
Lineage: Eukaryota; Metazoa; Chordata; Mammalia; Primates; Hominidae
Source: RNAcentral
CUGCGCCGCGCUGCUACCCCCAAGCCCGGCGCCGCCGACGGGAAGGCAGCGGCGGGGAGGCCCCCUGGAGGCCUGCUGGGAAAUGGCGGCUGGAGCGGCUGGCGCGUGGGUCCCCUCGGGGAGGCGCCCCAAGCCACGGUCCGUUCCCAAAGAGAAGCCCAGACUGGGCCCACAGUACCCGGGAAGGGCAAGAACCAGACAGAAAUGGAUGGCCGCUUGUUGGUGAAGGACUCACAGUUAGGCAAGGAAGAUCUCUUCUUCAUCAUGUUCCCUAUCACUGACUUCCAUGCUCCCUUAACUCUAUGCCUGAUCAGAACCCACAAACCAAGGAGACACACCUGGUCCUGUUGGUCCAUUUGCUAUUUCGUAGUUGAAUUUCACCUCAGCAUUCUAUAUAGAAGAUUUGUAUUUUUUUCAAUCACAUGCCCUAAUGUAAAUUUCAUGCAUUCAAGGCAGUUGAUUGGUUUCCAAAAAAUUAAAUACAGAAUUGCCAAAUACAUAAUAUAACAAUUCCACUUAAAGCAGGGAAUUUAACAGAUCUUUGAACACUAAUGUUCACAGCAACAUUCAUGGCAGCUAAAAGGUAGAAACAAUCCAAGUAUCAUCAAUAGAUGAAUAGACAAAUAAAACAUGGUAUAGAGGAUAUGGAGAAAAGAAAAGGGAACCCCUGUACACUGUUGGGGGGAAUGUAAAUUAGUACAACCACUAUGAAAAACAGUUUGGAUGUUCCUCAAAAAACUAAAAAUACAGCUAUCAUAGAGUCCAGCAAUCCCACUGCUGUGUAUGUACCCAAAAGAAAGGAAAUCAGUAUAUUGAAGAGAUAUCUGCACUCCCAUGUUUGUUGCAGCACUGCUUA